UUGCAGAAUCUGAUUGCGUAGUGAAAGGAACUUUUGAGUGUGUCAGCUUGGAGUCACUACUGUACAUACAUUCACCACUAGGGUUGAAGAUGUGCUUAGCCCCGGCAGUGAGCUUUAGAGGACCUUCUAAUGGAUUUCCAGGUUUGCUUGCACUAAUUAUAGUUUUUGCUACAUCACCAGAUCUAUCAAGCACGGUUGUUUCUUUUCUUUCAAGUGCACCAAUUUCAGCAUCACCAACAAGCUUUGACACAGUCACACCACUACUCAUAUCUCCUGGCGUCGUUAACUUGACAGGCUUUGAUCCAGGCUUCUUUUUGGUUCGUUUACUCUGAGGGUCUUUAACACAAAGUCUUGCCUUGAUUCGCUCUUUAAACUUCAAUCUAUACUCACGUUUUUCAUUCAUUGUUGAAGUUGGGAGAAACCUUGGGCGGAUUGGAGGUCGAGCUAUAGAAGCCAAAUUAGGUCCAUUCUGCAAAGGAGACUGGAUAGUCAAGGGAUUGUGUAUAUACGGAACAUCUGUUGUGCAGCGAACAAAUUGGGAUUUUUGAAAGUUAUUACUGGAAAUGCAAUGGUGAUGAUGACUAUCAGUUGCAUUAGAAUAGAAUUGGAAUGAACCAAUCGUAGAUUCAUUAGCUUGUGCAGCAUUUAACAAAGACGAGGUAAUGCUCUUAGAAGAGCUCUGGCAAUUAUAUGGCUGAGCAUGCUCUCCUAAAUCAGUGUACAAAAAAGGAAACUUGAAGGCUGAGCUUGUAGAAUGAGGUUGAGGCAGCAUCCUAGAAUUUUCAGCAUAGUUUGAGCUCAAGCUUUGGUAAGCAUUUAAUCAAGAAGCACUCAUCAUUUUAAGCUCACGCCACAACACAUGUAUUACCUCAGGUAUCUAUGAACCAAGUGAUUGUAAUGUUUCUUAAUGAAAUGCAGAAUCAUAUUGAUCGAAAUUUAUAAUGUUUAAUUUGGCUGGGAUGAAUAAUUACCUGCUUAUUUAUUGUAAAAAUUGUUGAUUUAACUAAUUAAUAAUCGAUUUAAUAUUACAAAGUAUCGAACUGAUUCGAUAUUUUCAAUUCAAUUAAUCAAAAAAUAUUUUUUUAAACUAAUGUAAUUGAUUGAUAAGUUAAAUAUUAUUAUAUCAUAUUAUAUAUUUGAUUAAUGUUCCGAUUAAUCUUUGAUUAUACGAUUAAUCACUAAAAGACGACUACACCAAUUAGUUCUAUUUUCGCAUUUUAAUAUUUAUAAAUCUUUUGUUAAGACAAAUGAACUUUAGAUAUUCCAAUCUGAUAUUCUCUUGCCAAGUUUAGAUUCUCCUCUGACAAGACAAGUUCAAUCCUGAUUCAUAAUAUAUAUCUUUUAUUUGAAUUUCAUCCUAGAAAAUUAAUGCUCACACAUUAUUUCAAAAUCUUUACUUGUAAUUCUGUUAUUUCUUCUUCUCUUUUUCUCCGUUUUCAUCUUAAAAUUUUACGAUAACACAUUUUUUUCAAAUCUAUACUUGUAUUUUAACAAUUAUCGUCUAUUUUUACAUAUAUCAUUUUAUUCUUUCCAAUGAAACAUAAUAUUAAAACUUAAAACAGAAAAUGAACUUCAACUCAUGACACCAUUUUGAUUUACACUAUUGUAAUGUAAAAAUUACAUCAUUAAUAGGACCAACUUCAAUCCAUUUCCUUAUAUAUCACACCAAAAAAUCUUUUAUCCAUGACUACCUUUCCAAAAAAAAUUAUUUUGUUGUGACAAACAUAAUGUAAAUGACAUAUAUGAAAUAGAUUUAUUUUAUUUAACAAAUAUAAUGAUUUAGUAUUUGAAAAGCUCUAAAAUAGUGUAAGAAAUUAAAAAGUUAUACUACAAGAUCAUGUAUCAUAAAACACAGACAGGAGUGGCAAGAUUUCACAACCAAAUAACUUUAAUUUGUUUCAAAUAUAAUUUACUCAAUUUCUCUAGAGAUGAGCAACUAGGCGCAUGAGAAUUGCAGAAUUACUAGAGCAAAUGAGAGAAAAUCAAAUUAGGUGCUCCUUAAGCAAACCCUUUAGAAUAAGAUUUUACAUGAUACAAACAUUGGCUCAUGGUUAAGAUGAAAACAAAAUAAUUACUAAUCUUACAGGGAAUUACAAAGAUGAUAUCAAAGAUCUUGCAAAGCAACAAACGGCCUCCAUGAUAUUCACAUAUACAAUAGACUGCAGAGAUUUGUAGUCAUUAUAAAAAACAAGAAGAAGAGAUGAGGAAGCACUACUUGGCUGUUCGUACAGGAGCACUAUAUUUGAGCUGUUUAAUUUAACAAAAGAACUCCUGAUUUGAAGAUGACCUGGUAUGGUGGAACAGCGACAACACUUGAGCAAAUUUGGCAAUUCGGUAAAUUGCGAGAGCAUACCUGUUCCACUGAUGGUUAAGAAACAUGGACAGAUAACAAAUUAUCAACCUUUCAAUAAUUAAAGAAUUCUACAUUGUAUGAUAAACUUACAACUAAAACCGGUAGAUCUUGGAUGGAUGUGAUUCCAAAGGUAUUGCAGAAUCUGAUUGCGUAGUGAAAGGAACUUUUGAGUGUGUCAGCUUGGAGUCACUACUGUACAUACAUUCACCACUAGGGUUGAAGAUGUGCUUAGCCCCGGCAGUGAGCUUUAGAGGACCUUCUAAUGGAUUUCCAGGUUUGCUUGCACUAAUUAUAGUUUUUGCUACAUCACCAGAUCUAUCAAGCACGGUUGUUUCUUUUCUUUCAAGUGCACCAAUUUCAGCAUCACCAACAAGCUUUGACACAGUCACACCACUACUCAUAUCUCCUGGCGUCGUU
Molecule: long non-coding RNA, 2770 nt
Filed under: Daucus carota (carrot)
Lineage: Eukaryota; Viridiplantae; Streptophyta; Magnoliopsida; Apiales; Apiaceae
Description: long non-coding RNA (DCAR_LNC004409)
Source: RNAcentral